GACGAACGCUGGCGGCGUGCCUAAUACAUGCAAGUAGGACGCACAGUUUAUACCGUAGCUUGCUACACCAUAGACUGUGAGUUGCGAACGGGUGAGUAACGCGUAGGUAACCUGCCUAUUAGAGGGGGAUAACUAUUGGAAACGAUAGCUAAUACCGCAUAACAGUAUGUAACACAUGUUAGAUGCUUGAAAGAUGCAAUUGCAUCGCUAGUAGAUGGACCUGCGUUGUAUUAGCUAGUAGGUAGGGUAAAGGCCUACCUAGGCAACGAUACAUAGCCGACCUGAGAGGGUGAUCGGCCACACUGGGACUGAGACACGGCCCAGACUCCUACGGGAGGCAGCAGUAGGGAAUCUUCCACAAUGGACGAAAGUCUGAUGGAGCAACGCCGCGUGAGUGAAGAAGGUUUUCGGAUCGUAAAGCUCUGUUGUUGGUGAAGAAGGAUAGAGGUAGUAACUGGCCUUUAUUUGACGGUAAUCAACCAGAAAGUCACGGCUAACUACGUGCCAGCAGCCGCGGUAAUACGUAGGUGGCAAGCGUUGUCCGGAUUUAUUGGGCGUAAAGCGAGCGCAGGCGGAAAGAUAAGUCUGAUGUGAAAGCCCUCGGCUUAACCGAGGAACUGCAUCGGAAACUGUUUUUCUUGAGUGCAGAAGAGGAGAGUGGAACUCCAUGUGUAGCGGUGGAAUGCGUAGAUAUAUGGAAGAACACCAGUGGCGAAGGCGGCUCUCUGGUCUGCAACUGACGCUGAGGCUCGAAAGCAUGGGUAGCGAACAGG
RNAcentral lists this ribosomal RNA (773 nucleotides) under Streptococcus anginosus. RNAcentral's name for it is "bacterial SSU rRNA". It matches the Rfam family "Bacterial small subunit ribosomal RNA", at positions 28 to 776 of the family's 1533-position model. The record is from RNAcentral. Lineage: Bacteria; Bacillati; Bacillota; Bacilli; Lactobacillales; Streptococcaceae.